Molecule: RNA transcript, 4073 nt
Organism: Nomascus leucogenys (northern white-cheeked gibbon)
Lineage: Eukaryota; Metazoa; Chordata; Mammalia; Primates; Hylobatidae
Gene: TPGS2
Gene name: tubulin polyglutamylase complex subunit 2
Exons: 7
Source: RefSeq, a predicted model, not a curated record
GUCAGGCGGUCAAAGGAUACAGUCCCGGCUCCAGAACGCCGCGGCACCGGGACGGGAGGGGCCCGCCACGUCCGCCAUCUUGAAACAACCGCCACUUGGGGCGUCGCGCCGGGGCCGACACGCCUCGGCCUGCAGGCUCGGUCCCCAUUGGCCGCGCCACGCAGAGGCCCGCCCCCGCCUGCGCGGCCGGCCCCUGCGGGGCGAGAGGGUCGGGGCUAAAGGGAAGCUACGUCCCGGAGGUGCAGUGUGGGGCAGCGGGCGGGGCCGCGGGAACCGGCGCCCCACGGAGCUGCUGCUGUCGGACCAACCCCGGGCCCCCGUCAUCACUGCACCGCGCUCUCAGACGCCGAGAACUACCGUUCCCGGCAUGCUCAAGUUCAUGACUUGGCCUCGGCGCUGAGGCGGGGUCCGGCCCUCCACGCGCUCCCGCCGCGCGCGGAUCGGGUUCGCGAGCCAUGGAGGAGGAGGCAUCGCCCCCGGGGCUGGGCUGCAGCAAACCGCACCUGGAGAAGCUGACCCUGGGCAUCACGCGCAUCCUAGAAUCUUCCCCAGGUGUGACAGAGGUGACCAUCAUAGAAAAGCCUCCUGCUGAACGUCAUAUGAUUUCUUCCUGGGAACAAAAGAAUAACUGUGUGAUGCCUGAAGAUGUGAAGAACUUUUACCUGAUGACCAAUGGCUUCCACAUGACAUGGAGUGUUAAGCUGGAUGAGCACAUCAUUCCACUGGGAAGCAUGGCAAUUAACAGCAUCUCAAAACUGACUCAGCUCACCCAGUCUUCCAUGUAUUCACUUCCUAAUGCACCCACCCUGGCAGACCUGGAGGACGAUACACAUGAAGGUAGGAAGAAGAUGCCAAGCCAGUGAUGAUCAGCCAGAGAAGCCUCACUUUGACUCUCGCAGUGUGAUAUUUGAGCUGGAUUCAUGCAAUGGCAAUGGGAAAGUUUGCCUCGUCUACAAAAGUGGGAAACCAGCAUUAGCAGAAGACACUGAGAUCUGGUUCCUGGACAGAGCGUUAUACUGGCAUUUUCUCACAGACACCUUUACUGCCUAUUACCGCCUGCUCAUCACCCACCUGGGCCUGCCCCAGUGGCAAUAUGCCUUCACCAGCUAUGGCAUUAGCCCACAGGCCAAGCAAUGGUUCAGCAUGUACAAACCUAUCACCUACAACACAAACCUGCUCACAGAAGAGACCGACUCCUUUGUGAAUAAGCUAGAUCCCAGCAAAGUGUUUAAGAGCAAGAACAAGAUCGUAAUCCCAAAACAGAAAGGGCCUGUGCAGCCUGCAGGUGGCCAGAAAGGGCCCUCAGGACCCUCCGGUCCCUCCACUUCCUCCACUUCUAAAUCCUCCUCUGGCUCUGGAAACCCCAUCCGGAAGUGAGCUCCCUCCAACUCCCUACCAGCUCCAGAGUGGUAGUUUCCAUACAUAGAUGGCCCUAGGGGUGACCUCCAGUUUUGUGUGUGGAACAAUAGGCCUCUUUCUAGCUGAAUGACCAAAAUUGUAAGCCUUUUAGUCCCACCGACAUUAGCCAGGCUCGUAGUGAGGCCUCCACAGCAGGUUGUGCUGUCCCCUGCCUCUGGAAGCAAUGGGGAAUUUGGAAUCUUGUGUAAGUGCCCAAAUAAGUCUAAUGAGUGUUUUCCUCUUCUUCAGCACUCAACCCUCAAUCCUUUAGCACUGAUUAGAGAAGUCCCCCAAAGAAACCACUGGUUUUGACCCAUGAAGCAUUAGAACUGCAUCGUUCAUUCAGGAGCCACUAGUCACAUAUGACUAUUUAAAUUUAAAUUAUAUGAAAAAUUCAUUUCUUCAAUUGCAUUAGCCACAUUUUGAGUAUUCAUGUGGCUGGUAGAUUCUGUAUUAGCACAAAGAUAUGGAACAUUUCCAUCACCACAGAAAGUUCUGUUGGACAGUACUGCAUUAGAAUAUUUUCAUACUGCUCUUCCUCAAUUUUUGUUGUUAAAUAAUGUUGAUGUCUUCAUUGGAUGGGUCAUAAUGUUCCAUGAAACCUCUCAAAUACACAAUUGCAUGUUCUUUGUAUCCCUUACCACAAAUAUCUCGCUCUGCUCAUUUCUUUUGUAGCUUCCUAUAAAGUUUGUCUUCCUCAUCAGUUUCCAGUGAAGUUUCUUGCUUCCAGUUUUGUGUUAUGAUGUUUGUACAUGUUCCACAAUUAUCUUCCUUAUUAACUUUUUAAAGAAAGUGUACUUCUGCUGUACUUUAUUCUUACCGUUUAAAAACAAAAAAUUCCCAAACAUUGCUUUGCACGACUCUUCAUAAAGAAAGUUUUAAUGGUGCCAGUCACUGUUAACAGAAGCUUUCCACCUGCUCUGCCUGCCUCUUCACAGCUCUGAGUUGUCCAGCCUCACUUUGCCUGGUCCCUGGCCAUCCUUAGGACGAGCAGUCUCCUGCUUAGAACAGGGUGGGCUCCCAAGAGUUCCUUUGGAAGCAAGUUGCCUGUAAUUCAGAAAUCAUUUUCCCAUUGACAUAUGGGGGAACCUCUAGCCCACAUAUGCUUAAUAUAUGACACAAGAUAAAUCUGACAUACCUACUACAUUUAAUGACAUUUUUACAGAGAAGGUUGCUCAGAUUUUCAAUUAGGAAUGCCUAUUUAUUUCCUCCCUCUACAGUCCUGGCUGUGGGCAGAAGCAAGGCCUUCACCCUACUUCCCAACAGGGAAAGUGGGGAGUCACCCACCUAGCCCCAAGUUCUUUGGGUGGCUGCAGUUUUUGUACUGAAGUCCCAGAGGUUAGAGAAUUAGGAGUUUUGAGGAAUGAGGUGCAGGGGCCUGUACCAUCUGCACACUUCAGUCCCAGCUGGCUCACUCUCUCUUUCCUGACUUCUCCCUACCCUGGUGAUUGGCCAGACUUCCUUCCUUUGCACUGUGUCUACCUGCUAAUCAACCCAGGGUUUCCCUCUUCCAAACCCACUGGGGACCUAAGAGCAGUCCACAGGAUUCUCCACAUGUACUUCUUUUGCUCUGAAACAUGUUUUUUGAUUGUUGACAAUAGUGAUUGAUAGAUAUUCAUGAGAAAGUGCCUUCGAUAUCUCCUCCACCUACCACUUUCCAUAGCCCCUGUGGAAAACCAAGAUGAAGAGUUAGUUAGCCUUCAAGGAUCAGGGCAAGCUCUAACUGGCUGCUUCCCCAUAUUUGUAAUAGUUCAGUCUUGAAAUAUCAGUGCUUAAAAGCCUUUGGGAGCAUAAAUUGAGCUUCGUAUUAACAGCUUCUUCAUUUGCUUUAAAAUAGCGAGACCUCUUACCUUUGCAAUCCCAAAAUAACCACUUAGUUAUAAUUCAGUGUGGUCAUUUAAACGUGUGUGUGUGUGUGUGUGUGUGUGUGUGUGUGUGUGUGUGUGUGUUUUAACCAUAACAUGACUGUCACAUAUUCUCUAGGAGACAUUUUGGCCCUUUUAAUUUAAUUGUUUAGGUUAUUAUACUUCAAGGAUUUAUAAAUGUGCAACAAUUCAUAGAGUGGCAGAAAAGGAUAUAGAGAGACCAAGUCGUCCAGGACAAUAGCUGGAGGUUAGUCUUCCGGAAGUAUUUUUCUUGGCAGAACUGAUCAAAGGAAGAGCCAACGGCACUGGAUAAGAGAUUCUAGCAUUUGGCUGCUUCUCCAAGACAAGCGAGGUUAGAAGGGAGUUGAGAAGUUAUGUCAUCUUCCACUGUAGCAGAUACCCCUUUUUUUGUACUUGGGAAUCCCCCAAAUCACAGCAUUUCUAAAUCAGCCCUGGAUUCCACAAGUGAAGCAGCAGAGGAACCGGAAGGUCAGCGGUGCCACUCAAAUCCGUGGCAAUCAAGUGGGAGUUCUCAAAAGGUUAUCAAAGGAAGGGGGUUAUGAUAAGGAAAGGCUCAAGACGUGCCUCAGAAGGAGUGAGCAGGGAAGAGCAGGACUGACUCCACGCUAUGCGGGAUCCAGUACAAAAUGAAGAUGUGAGGCUUUUGUGCAAACAGCAGGAAAACAUUACCUUUACAGGUACUAAAAUGUAAUGUUUUUCCUUUCUUCCAUAGUGUCUUUCUCAACUUGUUAUGGCUGUGUUUUUUAUUUGCUACUUAAUGCUGUUCUAACUAAAAACUUAAAUGUUAAA